GUAGAUAUAGUUUAAACAAAACAUUAGAUUGUGGUUCUAAAAAUAGAAGUUAAACUCUUCCUAUUUACC
This 69-nucleotide transfer RNA is filed under the name Xenomystus nigri (African knifefish). Its description in RNAcentral is "tRNA-His". It matches the Rfam family "tRNA". From Rfam's summary of the family: Transfer RNA (tRNA) molecules are approximately 80 nucleotides in length. The record is from RNAcentral. Lineage: Eukaryota; Metazoa; Chordata; Actinopteri; Osteoglossiformes; Notopteridae.